GUUUCUUUACCCAGUUGAAACAUCUGCUUCCCAAAUGUACCCUCCUCAUCCUGCACUGGGAACUGGCUCAAAACUGGAUAGAAGAUUUAAUAGGUCAGGAUUCUGAUUUCAGAAAGAUUUGAAUACCAGCAUGAAGAGCAUCCUUCAUAGAACAGAAGGGAUGCUCAGAAUGUCCAGAAAGCAGCACCCCUGGCACCUGCUGAGGAGGAUGGGGCUUCACAGUCACCUUGCCAAGAGCUCACGAUCCUGAGCACAAGUUGGAUGCUGUGGUUUACUUUCCUAGAGCCAGCCCCCAUUGCAAAACCACACGCCCCAAGGAAAACUAACCUGAGUAAACUGUUGGAUUAAAACAAACUUCAUUGAUUUUUCUUUUCUUUUUUUUUUUUUUUUUUUCNNNNNNNNNNNNNNNNNNNNNNUUUUUUUUUUUUUUUUUUUUUUUUUUUUUUUUUGGUGGCACUGGAAAAAUUUUCAUUUUCCGAGAAUGAACUCAUCCAGGCUCCAAAAUAGCCUGGUACAUUAGAAAUGCAAUUUUCCCAUUAUCUUUCUGCACAAGCCCUGUGAGAAAUUCUAUUCAAAUCACAUUUACAUAAUUCUAAGAAUAGAACAUUCUGCUCUUAAUAUCCAUCCACCCAUCUAUCCAUAAUUUAUGGGUUCACCAAAUAUUUGCCCUUUCUUUCUGAGAGGAAGAAGGAUAUGAGUUCGGACAAGUCUUACUUCAUUACUUGAUGCUAAGCUUAUGAAAGAUUUGGAAAGCAUUCUUAUUAUGAGGCACUUAAAAACUGCUCCUAUGGGCGAUGAAAGAGACUUCCAACACUUCUUUAAUAAUCCGUAUGCCAAACACAAUAUGCUGCAAUAAUAACUUGUUCCCUUGUUUGGGUUGGAGGGGAUCUUAAAGCCCACCCAGUUCCAGCCUCCUGUGUCAUGGGCAGGGCUGCCACCCACCAGAUCAGAUCUAGGGCUCCAUCCAACCUGGUCUUGGACACCUCCAGGGAUGGGGAACCCACAGCUCCUCUGGGCAGCCUGUGCCAGUGAACACCCUUUAUACUUCACCCUUCUGAAGGACUGUUC
This 1068-nucleotide long non-coding RNA is filed under the name Coturnix japonica (Japanese quail). Its description in RNAcentral is "lncRNA (ENSCJPG00005001706.1)". Lineage: Eukaryota; Metazoa; Chordata; Aves; Galliformes; Phasianidae. The record is from RNAcentral.